This is a long non-coding RNA of Panthera uncia (snow leopard), 1521 nucleotides long. RefSeq lists it as uncharacterized. NCBI's taxonomy places the organism in Eukaryota, Metazoa, Chordata, Mammalia, Carnivora, Felidae. The record is from RefSeq and is a predicted model, not a curated record. The transcript is spliced from 2 exons.
CAUGGCAACAUGAUGCUUCUCCAGCCGCGCUCAGCUGCCCAGGUAAAUACGUGGAGGAAGGAGAGGGAACAAAGAAAAGGGAAUGGCACGUUCUGAUAAGAAGCCAAAGCCAACCACGGGCAGAAAUACCGACAGCGAGGCAGAGAGGGAAGGCGGCUCACUGCCCCGUCUCCCCGCAGCUGCCCCAGAGCCCACAGGGGAACUGGGAUACAGGCGGACAGAAAUCGACGGCAACCCCUUCUCGACCUCAGCCAACACACUGUUCCCUACACGCGCGCAGAAGGAAAAGCAAGUUUGGAUGAUCUGUGAAGACGACAGAUUUCACCUGCGGAGCAGAAAGGCCUUCUGAGCCCUUGGCAAAGUGGAGGCCUUCGACGAACUGAACUUCUGAUGUUCUUUGAAGUGGUGAGAAUCGCACCUGAUCCGGAGAUAAGCAACAGAUGAAUGGCACAAAAACAGACACUCGGAUCAAUGGAACAGAAUAGAGAACCCAGAAAUGGACCCACAAACGUAUGGCCAACUAAUCUUUGACAAAGCAGGAAAGAAUAUCCAAUGGAAUAAAGACAGUCUCUUCAGCAAAUGGUGCUGGGAAAACUGGACAGCGACAUGCAGAAGAAUGAACCUGGACCACUUUCCUACCCCAUACACAAAAAUAAACACAAAAUGGAUGAAAGACCUAAAUGUAAGACAGGAAGCCAUCAAAAUCCUCAAGGAGAAAGCAGGCAAGAGCCUCUUGGACCUUGGCCUCAGCAACUUCUUACUCAACAUGUCUCCAGAGGCAAGGAAAGCAAAAGCAAAAAAGGAACAAUUGGGACCUCAUCAAAAUAAAAAGCUUCUGGGGGCACCUGGGUGGCUCAGUUGGUUAAGCGACCGACUUCGGCUCAGGUCAUGAUCUCGCAGUUUGGAAGUUUGAGCCCCGUGUCAGGCUCUGUGCUGACAGCUCAGAGCCUGGAGCCUGCUUCAGAUUCUGUAUCUCCCUCUCUCUCUGCCCCUCCCCUGCUCACACUCUGUGUCUCUCUGUCUCUCAAUAAUAAAUAAAUGUUAAAAAUUUUUUUAAUAAAAUUAAAAAAAAUAAAAAGCUUCUGCACAGCAAAGGAAACAAUCAGCACAACUAAAAGGCAACCGAUGGAAUGAGAGAAGAUAUUUGCAAACGACAUGUCAGAUAAAGGGUUAGUAUCCAAAAUCUAUAAAGAGCUUACCAAACUCAACACCCAAAAAACAAAUGAUCCAGUGAAGAAAUGGGCAAAAGACAUGCAUAGACACUUCUCCAAAGAAGACAUCCAGAUGGCCAACCGACCCAUGAAAAAAUGCUCAACGUCACUCAUCAUCAGGGAAAUACAAAUCAAAGCCACACUGAGAUACCACCUCACACCUGUCAGAAUGGCUCACAUGAACAACUCAGGCAACAACAGAUGUCGGCGAGGAUGCGGAGAAAGAGGAUCUCUUUUGCAUUGUUGGUGGCAAGGCAAGCUGGUGCAGCCACUCUGGAAAACAGUAUGGAGGCUCCUCAAAAAACUAAAA